Molecule: non-coding RNA, 125 nt
Organism: Triticum aestivum (bread wheat)
Lineage: Eukaryota; Viridiplantae; Streptophyta; Magnoliopsida; Poales; Poaceae
Source: Rfam
CGACUACUCCCUCCGUCCGGAAAUACUUGUCGUAGAAAUAGACACAAAUAGAUGUAUCUAGAACUAAAAUACAUCUAGAUACAUCCAUUUCUCGGACAAGUAUUUCCGGAGAGAGGGAGUACUUG